ACUCCUACGGGAGGCAGCAGUGGGGAAUAUUGCACAAUGGGGGAAACCCCUGAUGCAGCCAUGCCGCGUGUGUGAAGAAGGCCUCGGUUGUAAAGCACUUCUAGUAGGGAGGGAAGGUAGUGUAGUUAACUACCUGUCACUAUUUGACGUUACCUACAGAAGAAGCACCGGCUAACUCCGUGCCAGCAGCCGCGGUAAUACGGAGGGUGCGAGCGUUAAUCGGAAUUACUGGGCGUAAAGCGCAUGCAGGCGGCCUGUUAAGUCAGACUGUGAAAGCCCGGGGGCUUAACCUCGGAAUUGCAUUUGAAACUGGCAGGCUAGAGUCUUGUAGAGGGGGGUUAGAAUUUCAGGUGUAGCGGUGAAAUGCGUAGAGGAUCUGAAGGAAUACCCGGUGGCGAAGGCGGCCCCCGUGGACAGAUACUGACACUCAGAUGCGAAAGCGUGGGGAGCAAACA
This 455-nucleotide ribosomal RNA is filed under the name uncultured bacterium. RNAcentral describes it as "bacterial SSU rRNA". It matches the Rfam family "Bacterial small subunit ribosomal RNA", at positions 335 to 774 of the family's 1533-position model. The record is from RNAcentral.